AUACGUAGGGGGCUAGCGUUAUCCGGAUUUAUUGGGUUUAAAGGGUGCGUAGGCGGUUUCUUAAGUCAGAGGUGAAAGGCUACGGCUCAACCGUAGUAAGCCUUUGAAACUGGGAAACUUGAGUGCAGGAGAGGAGAGUGGAAUUCCUAGUGUAGCGGUGAAAUGCGUAGAUAUUAGGAGGAACACCAGUUGCGAAGGCGGCUCUCUGGACUGUAACUGACACUGAGGCACGAAAGCGUGGGGAGC
This 246-nucleotide ribosomal RNA is filed under the name uncultured bacterium. Its description in RNAcentral is "partial 16S ribosomal RNA". It matches the Rfam family "Bacterial small subunit ribosomal RNA", at positions 523 to 769 of the family's 1533-position model. The record is from RNAcentral.